GAGAGAGAGAGAGAGAGAGAGCGAUAGAGAGAGGUAGGGUGUGAUCACUUGUGUUAUUUUCCCACGACUAAUUUAUGUCAAACAUGAGUUGCUUAAUCCACCGCUCAGAUUGGAUUAUUUGAUAUGGAUUGCAAAAGAAUUGAAGUGAAACCAAGCAAGUUUUUAACUCCGCGCCAUCUUGCUGUUAAUUUCUAACCUCGAGGAAAACAAUGCGGGCCGCUUUCAGCGACGUGACACUCCCAACACAAGCGCUUGCGGAGGAAAAAACCUAGGACGCCACUUCAUGUUUACUCUUGGAGCAAAAUGUUUCUUUUCCGUUGGACCUUUUGUUGUUUUCUACUGGCGUUUCCUAAACCGGCCUGCGGUCGUCCUGGAUACGGCAUGGCAGAAGUCACAUGUUCACAGGGCCUACGUGAGUGCACCGUGGCGGAUGAGAUCCCUCUCGGCAUCUGGGAGAGCGACGCUGCUGAUGUGCGGGCGCUGGGGGCGAAGGUGGAGGUUUGCUGCCACGGCAACGCGCCUUGCACGUUGUGUCUGCUGCUCGACGCUCAGCUCGCCGUCCGCGCGGACCAAAGCGGCCGAUCGGGGCGCCGCGCCGAGGGGGACGGAAGGGAGGCCGCCAAUUUGACAGCGUCCGUGACGUUAUGUUACAAAACGCCGCCGACUUUCCCAGCAUGCAAGAGGGUGGACUUCAAAAUCUGUUCUACAGAACUCGAGCAGAACGUGGCAAAGGUAUCGCUGGCGAUUACGAAUCCAGCUGGGGUUUCCUUCGGCAGUAUCGUGUACGUUUAUCCUUUGAAAGCGCUGCAGCGGACCAAAGAAGUCGUGGCUCCAUCUCUAAAUGAAGUGUGCUCCCAAAACCCGCAGAAACCCAUCAAAGAGUGUCACGUGCCCACAGUCAACAGUGUCAUUAACCGUGAAAUGAAUCACGUGGAGCUGAAAUUUGCUCCGAGGAACAAAGUCUGCAUCCAGUACGAGGCCGACGGAAGAUGCCAGAGUUGGGAGAGAAAGACCAUCCCGCUGCACUCCGUGACGCCCUGCUUGUGCCUCCAGGUUUGGGACGAUGACAAGCCGAGACGCUCUCGGAGCUGCCCCUUCACAAACACGGGUUCCCUUCAGAAGAACGUAUGGCAGAACCUGACCGUCUCUGUGGGCCACGGUCGGAUGAACGACAAGGGCCAAAUGCUGCUGUGGAACUUGUCCGCCCCGUGCAGGCUGGAGGGGGAGGUGUGGCCCUGUCGGCGGGCUUCGGGUCACCCAUGCGCUGAAAUUGAGGGCUUCCGGCAGCGGCUGGAGAAUACCACAUGGGAGCAAAACAGUAACGUGCGAUGGGUCAGAAAGGGUGUUUUUGAAGAUAUUAAUCUGCAGCUGUCACCGUGUGUGAUGGUGAAUUUAACGGAUGGGGGCCUCCUACUCGGACCUUUCUGCUCUCAUCAAUCCCCAAGAUGGCGCUGGACUCUGCUUGCCGUGGCUGUUUUGCUCGUGGUCGCCUUGGCAGCACUGAUGUCGCGUCUUCGUCAUGACUUUGUCAAGCAAUGGGCGAGCCACUCUUUCCGUGAAGGAUGUGCCGAGAAUGGCCGGAAAGGUCACGUGGUCCUGGUGAGCCCCCCGGAUAUCCACGACGGCGUUUCCGAGGUCUGCGACCUGGGAUCCCUGCUUCAGAACCACGGCUUCAGCGUGUCGGUGGACCAGUGGAGCAGGACGGAGCAGUGCGACCUGGGCCCCCUCCCGUGGCUUCACUCCCAGCUGCUGCGCGUGAAGAACCUGGGCGGCCGCGCCGUCAUCAUCCUGACCCGCAAAGCCUUGGGGCUGGCGCACGAGUGGAGCCGCCAGCGACUGGAGUCUCUCCGGGAGGGGGGAGGAGACGGCGACGCGCCUCAGUCGCCGUACUCGGACGUGUUCGUGGCCUCGCUGUGCCUCAUCCUGGGGGACAGACGGCAAGGGAGGACCGGAGAACGUUUCGUCCUGGUCACGUUCGACCGGGACGUGGCGCGGCCUCCUGGGAUCUUACCCGAACCCUUCCAAGGCCUUCAUUUGUUCCAGCUCCCCUCCCAGAUGAAAACUCUGCUGCGUGAGCUCGGCGGGGGAGCCAAAGCGAAGGGAGACGGCGGGAGGUCGAAGGCCGGCUCCGGGUGGGCAACCUCGGAUGGAUGGAAAUUAAAGACUGACGAUACCGGCGCAGUGUAAAUAUUCUGGAAUUCGCAGAUCAUGCUGAACAUUUGUUGCUCUUUGGAAGGAAGGAGUCCACCUUGAUAAGAGGGACUGCAACCUGUCACUACAUGUAGGGAUGUGCUGCAAACUAUUUGUGGAAGCGAUUCAGAAGGUUUAGGAAGAUUGGUGGACAUCUCUUCCUAAUUAUUGGAUCGAAAGUAUUCUCGAGACUCUUUUGGGUGGGGGGGUUCUUCAAUGGAUCACAAAGUGCCCCGUGUGACUUAAAGUAUGUACAAAAUGAUCUACUGCGAAUGUUUAGUGAGCCUGCUCAGCUGGAGAAGAAGCUGCAGACUCCCUUGACCCGCUGACACCGUUGAGAAUCGCCUGCAGCGGGAGCACCAUGAGUUCAAAAAAUAAAAAAAUAACAAAAUAAAACAUCCUGCAACAAGAUGUGUGUGGAUGCAUAGUCUUUUUUUUUUCUUCGUAAUCUGUCCGAUUCUUGUAUUCUUACAUCCUUUUUUUUUUUGGCGACUCCGACUGGGUGUGUACCGUAAUUUCCGGCCUACGAGCCGCGACUUUUUUUCCACACGGUUUAUGCGGUGAUGCGGCUAAUUUGUGCGUUGCCCGCGAGGGGGCACUCGGGCGGAAAAGGUAAAAGUGAGACCGGUGGAAUAUAUGUGCAGAGGACUUUUACCGGCCCUGUUAGCGCCGCGCUGGUGUUAGCGCUGUGUCAGGGUGUUGCUGCUGUGUUACUGCCGUGUCUCAGUGAGAUUUACCGGUAAGCUUUAUUUUAACCGACCCUGUUAGCGUUAGUGCUAGCGUAGCACGGCGCUAGCAUUAGCAUUGGCGCUGCGCUAGAGUUAAACUCUUUCUGUGUACCGUCUUUCUUUGUAAAUAUCUCAUGUUUGAAUGUGGGUUUCAGUGUGGGGACUUGCGGCUUUUACACAGCUGCGGCGUACGUAUGUCAUGUCAUGAUCCAUGCUGCUUAUCCUCACAAGGGUUGCGGGACAGCUGGAGCCUAUCCCAGCUAGCUUCGGGCGAAAGGCAGACUACACCCUGAAGUGGUCGCCAGUCAGUCGCAGGGCAGCUAUCUACACCAUCACUGAGCGGGAAUCGAUCCCACGCUGCCCGCCCCCAAGGCAGACGUAGGCGUACGUAUGUACCAAAUGGUAUUUCCUUUCCAAAUGUACUCGGUGAGGAUUGUAACUAGGUGCGCUCUGUAGGCCGGGAAUUACGCUAAUUACACUUUGAACAGAGUGAGUUGAAUUCCUUCAUGCAACACUGACGUCUGCAUAGAUUGAUUUUUUUUUUCUCUCUCUCACUAUGUUGGAUUGAAAUGAGGUAAUAUGAAGAUGACGGCAAACUCAAGCAAAAAAAAAAAAAAAAAAAAGAAGAUGGAGGGCCCUCAUGUUCAUUUCAAGGCACCUCUUCGAAAUGGCCACAGGACAACAAAAACGGGUUGGCAUGCUUCCUCUAUGCUCACAUUUGGGAAAGCACACGGUGGACACGAGCUCCUCUGAGGAGCCGACAUAAGUAAAAAGGUACAAAAAAGAGGUCCUUUCGGGUGCGUUAGUUCGGAUUUUUAGGACUCACAGUCGCAUAAUGGCCUGAAUGUGAAGGUGCGGGUGGUGGUGGUGGGGGGGGGGGGGUGAAGAUGAAGACAUGGCGGAGGCAGCCAGAUCCAAAUGAGUCCGUCAAGCUUUGGGGGUCACGACCUUGAAGCAAUCCCGACGAGGGAGCCAGGAAGGAAGAACACGCAGCUUUGACCAGGCGGA
Syngnathoides biaculeatus (alligator pipefish) is the source of this 3926-nucleotide RNA transcript. It is a transcript of the gene named interleukin 17 receptor C, with no coding region annotated. The record is from RefSeq and is a predicted model, not a curated record. Lineage: Eukaryota; Metazoa; Chordata; Actinopteri; Syngnathiformes; Syngnathidae. The transcript is spliced from 16 exons.